Molecule: small RNA, 520 nt
Filed under: Vigna angularis var. angularis
Lineage: Eukaryota; Viridiplantae; Streptophyta; Magnoliopsida; Fabales; Fabaceae
Description: Non-protein coding transcript
Source: RNAcentral
AUAUUUUCCCAAGACCUUAGUUCUUGAAAUAUAAGAAUAAAAAUAAAGCAUUAAAGCAGCUUUAGGAAUUCAUAACGAUCACCAACUAAUCUAUAGCAUAGUAUUACUCUGAAAUUUUCACGGUAUUUAUCUUUUUUAGUGCAGUACUCUAUUAAAAAUAAUUCCUCUAGCUCUAACCUUAUAGACCAGCCAAUGUUGAUCAUAUGAUCACAAGACCUAAAAUGGGAUUAUGUAUGCAACCAAGAAUUUACCCUACACUCUUCUCACUUUGCCACCCCCUACACCACUUUAUUUGUAACCUCCCCAAAUUACAAUUUUCUCAAGGUCUUUGGGUAGGCCUUGUUUCCUUUUCUUAAACUUUAUAAUGCCAUCAAGUUUGAGUUUAGAUCAACUAAGUGUAUCUCUUUGGGGUAAUCCAUCAGUAAUACAGGAUAUAUCUGUUUAUGUCCAACUUUUAUUUUUAAAGGUUUCAUCUUUAAUAUCUUCAUCCUUUUUUCAACCACCUCAACACCCUUCUAAU